AUUGAACGCUGGCGGCAUGCCUUACACAUGCAAGUCGAACGGUAACAGGUCUUCGGAUGCUGACGAGUGGCGAACGGGUGAGUAAUACAUCGGAACGUGCCCGAUCGUGGGGGAUAACGAAGCGAAAGCUUUGCUAAUACCGCAUACGAUCUACGGAUGAAAGCGGGGGAUCUUCGGACCUCGCGCGGACGGAGCGGCCGAUGGCAGAUUAGGUAGUUGGUGGGAUAAAAGCUUACCAAGCCGACGAUCUGUAGCUGGUCUGAGAGGAUGAUCAGCCACACUGGGACUGAGACACGGCCCAGACUCCUACGGGAGGCAGCAGUGGGGAAUUUUGGACAAUGGGCGCAAGCCUGAUCCAGCCAUGCCGCGUGCAGGAUGAAGGCCUUCGGGUUGUAAACUGCUUUUGUACGGAACGAAAAGGUGCCUUCUAAUAAAGGGCGCUCAUGACGGUACCGUAAGAAUAAGCACCGGCUAACUUCGUG
Molecule: ribosomal RNA, 482 nt
Filed under: uncultured bacterium
Lineage: Bacteria
Description: partial 16S ribosomal RNA
Rfam family: Bacterial small subunit ribosomal RNA
Source: RNAcentral